Molecule: ribosomal RNA, 597 nt
Filed under: uncultured marine bacterium
Lineage: Bacteria
Description: bacterial SSU rRNA
Rfam family: Bacterial small subunit ribosomal RNA
Source: RNAcentral
AGAGUUUGAUCCUGGCUCAGGAUGAACGCUGGCGGCGUGCCUAAUACAUGCAAGUCGAGCGAACUGAUUAGAAGCUUGCUUCUAUGACGUUAGCGGCGGACGGGUGAGUAACACGUGGGCAACCUGCCUGUAAGACUGGGAUAACUUCGGGAAACCGAAGCUAAUACCGGAUAGGAUCUUCUCCUUCAUGGGAGAUGAUAGAAAGAUGGUUUCGGCUAUCACUUACAGAUGGGCCCGCGGUGCAUUAGCUAGUUGGUGAGGUAACGGCUCACCAAGGCAACGAUGCAUAGCCGACCUGAGAGGGUGAUCGGCCACACUGGGACUGAGACACGGCCCAGACUCCUACGGGAGGCAGCAGUAGGGAAUCUUCCGCAAUGGACGAAAGUCUGACGGAGCAACGCCGCGUGAGUGAUGAAGGCUUUCGGGUCGUAAAACUCUGUUGUUAGGGAAGAACAAGUACGAGAGUAACUGCUCGUACCUUGACGGUACCUAACCAGAAAGCCACGGCUAACUACGUGCCAGCAGCAGCGGUAAUACGUAGGUGGCAAGCGUUAUCCGGAAUUAUUGGGCGUAAAGCGCGCGCAGGCGGUUUCUUAA